Engraulis encrasicolus (European anchovy) is the source of this 1444-nucleotide long non-coding RNA. RefSeq lists it as uncharacterized. The transcript is spliced from 4 exons. The record is from RefSeq and is a predicted model, not a curated record. Lineage: Eukaryota; Metazoa; Chordata; Actinopteri; Clupeiformes; Engraulidae.
GAAGAAUCAACCGGCGACUGUGGCGAGCCUCGCAGCGGAUGAAGUUAACUUCCAAUGGACGGGACAAAUUCAGAAGGCAGUGGUGUUGCAUCUUUUAUAUGCAUGGUUGUCCUGAAGUCAUUCUGGAACAGGGGUUGUGUUCAGGUGCGUGACAACUGACAACAUUGAGAAGACCCAGGAGCGGGAGAAGGGCAGCCUGAUGAAAGAAGGCGACAGUGUUCUGUGGUCACACCUGAGAUGAUGGUCCUGAAGAGGAACGAGAGGAGAUACUGGGCAUAUAAAUACAGGCACUGGUCAUCACAGUGGAGGACAAUCAUGAAAAGGUUGAGGACUUCACUGUGCCCAUCCCUGAAGUCCCUCCACUCGGUGCAGCAGCUCUUUCCACCAUACUGCCAUGCUCUGGGUUGUCCCUGCCACCAUCCACCUUUUGGGUCAUCCGUGCCGCCAGCCAUCACCGUGCCUGCAGCGCCUGGGUCAUCCGUGCCACUCCCCACCAUGCUGCCAGUCAUCACUGUGCCUGCAGCACCUGGGCCAUCCCUGCCACCAUCCACCGUGCCUUCAACGUCCACAGCACCUCCGGUAUCUGUGAGCCAGUUUGCAGCUCUACUGGCCUCUCCAGUAUACAGUAUGCUGUAAUUGCUAAUGGUUUCUCUGAGUGGCCUGACCGGUUAAUUGUCCCGUAUCCCAACUAUUUACCACUAAACAAGUGAUUUUGUAAUAAGUAGGAGAUCUUUGCAAUGUUAUCAGUAUGGUUGGACUCUGUUUCACUGCUGUAUGUCUUCCUCAAAGAGUAAAACGAAUUCUGAGUAUUCUUGGAUUUAGUCUUUGAAAAGUAGAGCAGCCCGUUUGUUUGAAACUGUUGUCCUGGACACCAAAUAGACUGGAACUGAUAUCCUUUUUUAAAAGAAACUGGUAUCCUUUUUAUGUGUGCAGUUUAAUGGUAGAACAGUAUACACUGAUGUGCCUUUAUCAGUAACAAAGUGAAAAUGGAACAAAAUUUGACUAUUUCUGUCAAAAACUGCUACAAAUUCUACAUAUUGUUUAUAUAAACCUAGUUCUGGAGGAAGUCUGAGAGUUAUUGACAGUUGCCAUGUCUAGCUUCCGCCUUCGCGUAAAUUUAAAUCCCUCCUUCCCUCCUUCCCCUGUCAUGCGCAAAGGCUAUCCUAAUUGUCCCAGCACCUCCCCCUACUCCCUCAUCUCACUGGAUCACCCAGCUACAUGUCCCCUACACUUAUGGAGUGGAAGCGGAUCUCGUGCCGCAUGAUCUCCGCAGGGUCCCAGGACAGAGGCCAGCUAACAUCGAAUUAUGCCUAUUGACUAUGGUUACCAUACUCCAGGGCAAACUCGUGAAUUAAAUGGUCCUGUUGUUUAUGUUUGUUUACUUUUUGUGAGAUAAACUGAAACAUUGUGUAUCUGCUCAUUUUUCACAUUUUCCUGUUGGCGA